Molecule: long non-coding RNA, 104 nt
Organism: Sander lucioperca (pikeperch)
Lineage: Eukaryota; Metazoa; Chordata; Actinopteri; Perciformes; Percidae
Exons: 3
Source: RefSeq, a predicted model, not a curated record
CCCAGAGCUAGAAACAAACUAUUUUUGUUGGUUUUGCUCGCAGCCAAUCACCGCAAGCGUUCUUCCAUUUAAUGUGAUGUUUGAUCGGCCAAAAUGAUACUUCA